GGGACAGCCAAAGUGAAGACAAGAACCCUG
RNAcentral lists this non-coding RNA (30 nucleotides) under Cricetulus griseus (Chinese hamster). Lineage: Eukaryota; Metazoa; Chordata; Mammalia; Rodentia; Cricetidae. The record is from RNAcentral.